This 378-nucleotide ribosomal RNA is filed under the name Astrammina rara. Its description in RNAcentral is "bacterial SSU rRNA". Lineage: Eukaryota; Foraminifera. The record is from RNAcentral.
GGGAAAUCUUACCGGGUCCGGACAUACUGAGGAUUGACAGGUGCAAAAAUGUAAUUUUAUAUUAAUAAUUUAUUUUAUUAUUAUAAUAUUUAUGUUAUCAAAUAUGCUAGUCCUUUCAUGAUUGUGUGAUAGGUGGUGCAUGGCCGUUCUUAGUUCGUGGAGUGAUCUGUCUGCUUAAUUGCGUUUCAUUUUAGCUCCAAAUAGACUUUUCUAUUAUAUUAGCCUUAAUACUUUAAGUGAAUCAAAUUUAAUUUAUUUUUUAUUAAUUUUAUAUAUUAUUAUAUAUUUAAUUAUAUAAAAGAUAUUUUAUAUAUAUUUGUGAAAAUUUUAAAGUUAAGGAUUUAAUAUAAAGUAAAAGCUGGAGCCUGAAGGCAACGA